Molecule: ribosomal RNA, 480 nt
Filed under: uncultured bacterium
Lineage: Bacteria
Description: partial 16S ribosomal RNA
Rfam family: Bacterial small subunit ribosomal RNA
Source: RNAcentral
AAUGAACGUUGGCGGCGUGGAUUAGGCAUGCAAGUCGAGCGAGAACCCCGCAAGGGGGGACAGCGGCAAACGGCGUAGUAAGGCGUAGGUACGUGCCCCCGGGUCUGGGAUAGCCAAGGGAAACUUUGGGUAAUACCGGAUACUCUCGAGAGAGCGAAGGUGUGACUCCGCCUGGGGAGUGGCUUACGUGGUAUUAGCUUGUUGGUGAGGUAACGGCUCACCAAGGCAACGAUGCCUAGGGGGUGUGAGAGCACGACCCCCACGACUGGGACUGAGAUACUGCCCAGACACCUACGGGUGGCUGCAGUCGAGAAUCUUCGGCAAUGGGCGCAAGCCUGACCGAGCGACGCCGCGUGUGGGAUGAAGGCCCUUGGGUUGUAAACCACUGUCAGAGGGGAUGAAGUGCACGGGGGUACUCCCUCGUGUUUGACAUAGCCUCAGAGGAAGCACGGGCUAAGUUCGUGCCAGCCGCCGCCGUAA